CCUAUGAUCAUGCAGGUAGCAUAUUUUAAAGAAGACCUCUUCAAAAUUUAAUCCUCCAGGAAUCUGUUACUCACAGGAACUUGCCUCCAAGAAACUUCCAGACUGACUCUGGUCCCAAACUGAACAUAGGCCAUCAAGAACCCAUUGAGUCCUCUGGAUUGGAGUGGUGGAUACAGACAAAAUCCUAAAUAUUCUUCAGAUGUGGU
Molecule: long non-coding RNA, 206 nt
Filed under: Monodelphis domestica (gray short-tailed opossum)
Lineage: Eukaryota; Metazoa; Chordata; Mammalia; Didelphimorphia; Didelphidae
Description: lncRNA (ENSMODG00000051515.1)
Source: RNAcentral